RNAcentral lists this ribosomal RNA (458 nucleotides) under uncultured bacterium. RNAcentral describes it as "bacterial SSU rRNA". It matches the Rfam family "Bacterial small subunit ribosomal RNA", at positions 342 to 797 of the family's 1533-position model. The record is from RNAcentral.
CUGGAGGCAGCAGUGAGGAAUAUUGGUCAAUGGGCGCAAGCCUGAACCAGCCAUCCCGCGUGAAGGAAGAAGGCGCUAUGCGUUGUAAACUUCUUUUCCAGGGGAAGAAAAUUUUGUACGAGUACAGAAUUGACGGUACCCUGGGAAUAAGCAUCGGCUAACUCCGUGCCAGCAGCCGCGGUAAUACGGAGGAUGCGAGCGUUAUCCGGAUUUAUUGGGUUUAAAGGGUGCGUAGGCGGAUCAAUAAGUCAGUGGUGAAACCCUGCAGCUUAACUGUAGACUUGCCAUUGAUACUGUUGGUCUUGAGUGUGGUCAAGGUAGGCGGAAUGUGUAAUGUAGCGGUGAAAUGCUUAGAUAUUACACAGAACACCGAUUGCGAAGGCAGCUUGCUGGGCCAUUACUGACGCUGAUGCACGAAAGCGUGGGGAUCGAACAGGAUUAGAAACCCCGGUAGUCCG